Molecule: ribosomal RNA, 94 nt
Filed under: Hippocampus comes (tiger tail seahorse)
Lineage: Eukaryota; Metazoa; Chordata; Actinopteri; Syngnathiformes; Syngnathidae
Source: RNAcentral
UUGUGCGGCCAUACUACUCUGAGAAAAUCCAGGGACCAUGGCCUGGUUCAUACUUGGAAGGGAGACCAACUGGGACUACGAGGUACCGUAAACU